ACGAACGCUGGCGGCGUGCUUAACACAUGCAAGUCGCACGCUGAAGCUCAGCUUUUGUUGGGUGGAUGAGUGGCGAACGGGUGAGUAACACGUGAGUAACCUGCCCCCUUCUUUGGGAUAACGCCCGGAAACGGGUGCUAAUACUGGAUAUUCACUGGUCUUCGCAUGGGGGUUGGUGGAAAGGGUUUUUCUGGUGGGGGAUGGGCUCGCGGCCUAUCAGCUUGUUGGUGGGGUGAUGGCCUACCAAGGCUUUGACGGGUAGCCGGCCUGAGAGGGUGACCGGUCACAUUGGGACUGAGAUACGGCCCAGACUCCUACGGGAGGCAGCAGUGGGGAAUAUUGCACAAUGGGCGCAAGCCUGAUGCAGCGACGCCGCGUGAGGGAUGGAGGCCUUCGGGUUGUGAACCUCUUUCGCUCAUGGUCAAGCCGCAACAAUGGUUGUGGUGAGGGUAGUGGGUAAAGAAGCGCCGGCUAACUACGCG
RNAcentral lists this ribosomal RNA (482 nucleotides) under uncultured bacterium. Its description in RNAcentral is "partial 16S ribosomal RNA". It matches the Rfam family "Bacterial small subunit ribosomal RNA", at positions 29 to 507 of the family's 1533-position model. The record is from RNAcentral.